Molecule: RNA transcript, 4098 nt
Organism: Panicum virgatum (switchgrass)
Lineage: Eukaryota; Viridiplantae; Streptophyta; Magnoliopsida; Poales; Poaceae
Gene name: protein EXECUTER 1, chloroplastic-like
Exons: 14
Source: RefSeq, a predicted model, not a curated record
UAGAGAGACGAGGCCGAGCACGGCUCCAACCGCAGCAGCGCGCGAGCCACGGCAACCGAACGCCCGCGACGCGAAUACAGCCAGCGCGAGCACGAGCUCCUCCGCCACCCAGUGUGCCAUCGCGUCGCCGCCGCGCCCGCCGUCCAUGGCGUCCGUGUCCACGGCGCCGCGCGCGCCGCUCCCCGCGGCCGCGUCCUCCCCGUCCUCCGCGCGGCAGCUGGAUCGGAACCCUAGCGGCGGCCGGUUCCUCGCCGCGCGGCGCCUCCGCGCCGUGCGACGCCUCGCCGGCGCGGCCACCUCGCGGCGCGCGCCGGCGGCCCGGUGCUCCGCGGCGCGUAGCCCGGACGCGGACGCCGGCGGCGAGCGGCGCAGGCGGGGCUGGGACGCGAUGCUCCACGACGCGUUCCGGGGCGCCGUGCGGCGGUGGAGCGAGUACGUCAGCAAUUACUGGCCCCCAACGCCCGCCGCGAAGGAGGCAGGUACGGGGAAGAGGGUUGGGAGUUCUCACGAAGCGAUGAGCGGGGAUGAAGAGGCGAGUAGGGCGGAGGAGGAGGAAGAGGGGAUGUGGAGCUGGGAGAUGUGGAAGCGGCACUUUGCUCUCAUUGAGGAGAGCGAGCGCCUCGUUGAUGAGCUACAGCUACAACUCCGAACUGCUAUUUAUAGAGAAGACUAUAGGAGUGCUCAUAAACUGAAGCUGGCUAUCGCGGCUACGGCAAGAAAUGACACUGUGGGCAGAGCUAUCUCUGACUUAAAUAGGGCAAUAGAAGAGGAGCGCUACAGGGAUGCAACAUAUAUCAGAGAUCAUGUUGGUGCAGGAUUGCUGGGGUGGUGGUCUGGAAUUUCUGGAAAUUUGUCUGAUCCAUAUGGUCUUAUAAUUCAUAUAAGUGCUGAACAUGGUCGAUAUGUUGCAAGAAGUUAUGAUACAAGGCAGCUAGCUUCAGAUGGCCAUGGUUUUCCUAUAUUUGAAAUAUACUUUGCAGAAGCAAAUGGAGAAUACAAACUGCAGGCAGUGCAUCUGCGACCAGAUGAUAGUGAUUCUGACCAAUUGCCAAACAUUUUAAGAGAGAAACUUGGCAUUGACAGUAUAAACAUAUCUAGCAGUUCAGUAGGGUCUAAGCAUGAAGAAUUCGAUGGAAGUGUAAACAUGGAUGAUCAAGAUAAUGAUGACAGUAAUAUUACUGCUGGUGGCCCAGCUGGUUUGAAAAACUUAUCAAGCGAUUCAACUGCCAUUCCCAGGAUUAAAAUCUUGAAAGUGGUACCCAUAGAAAAUGUCAACCAAGACUACAUAAUCAAUAUUUUUGAUCAAAUUUCAGAGGAAGAUGAUGACCAUGAUGAUUCUGAGGUCGAAAAUGAAUCCUCUCAUGAUAUUGGUGAUGGAGAUAACACUGAAGGAGCAGAAACAGUUUCUGCAGAAGAGAAUGGUGAUGAAUCUGGCGAUGAAAAUGAUAUUGAAGCCUUGAUUUCAAUUGAUUUUGUCAGUGAAAAUAACAACGAUUAUGCUUCCCAUUCAUCAGCUGCAGCAUUUGAACGAAUGCCAGCUAGAUUAGAAAGAACAGACCGCUUCUCAUUUUCCUUCUAUACUGAAGAAUACAAUAAAAAACUAGGUGCGGGAAAAGGCCAGCAGACUUCAAACAGAACAGUUAGUCUGCAUACUAGUCAGCAGGAUGAUGAUGGUUUUGUCCAGCUUGAUUGUGUAAAGUUGAGUGGCAGCAACAAGAAACUAUCGAUACUACAACUUGGCAUCAAACAACAUAAUAACAAGGUUCAGCAAAAACUGCAUGGAGUUACCCACUUCAGUCGGAUUCAGGCGCCUAUAUCUUCAGAUCCUCUUAACGGUUUAUAUGUGACUGCUUCAGGAUUUGACUCAGAAAUUAUUAGUUUGCAACGGAAAUUUGGUCAAUAUCAGGAGGAUAAUUUGUCAGAGGAGCAUAGCGACCUACUGUUCUAUGAGUAUGUUGAAGCUGUAAAAUUAACAGGGGACAACCUUGUGCCAGCGGGUCAGGUUGUGUUCCGUGCAAAAGUUGGUGAGCGCUAUCAGCUUCCUCAUAAGGGAAUCAUCCCAAGAGAACUUGGAGUGGUUGCUAGGUAUAAGGGGCAAAGGAAAAUUGCAGACCCUGGUGUCCAAAACCCUCGAUGGGUUGAUGGGGAGCUUCUGAUACUUGAUGGAAAGUUCAUCAGAGAUGGUCCUGUGAUAGCUUUCUUUUACUGGACAUCAAAUUUUCAUCUUUUUGAAUUCUUUAGACGGUUGAAGCUUCCUGACUAGUUCCCUUCUAAUAGAAGUAGUUGAAGACUCCAUUCUCUCAAGGGUCUUCUUUUCCGGGCACUGGUUUGUUCUAUGAUCAGAGUCAGACUCGUGGAAGUGACAGAAUAAUUUUUUGGGCUCACGCGAAGGUCCGCGACCUCGGCCUCUUCCUCUGCCGCGACCUCUGCCCCGUGCUCCGGACGAAAGUUGCUUGUCAUUUGUGUGUUGCGGUUCCGACUCUGGUGGUAUCAUGAAGGGAUCAAAGGUUAACUGUUCCUCAUCAUCUUGUGAGGGUUCCACAGAGCUUCUCCAGGGUCCUCGGGGGCUCUCUUGUGAGUUGAGAAGCAAGCUGACUAGGCAGGAGACCUUCGAUGCAUUUCUCAAUCGCAUCUUUCUCUGGGAAGUUUGGGAUUUGAGCCUUCUUCUGAAUGAACCUCCGGAGAUAGUCAUAGAGAGGCUCGCAGUCAUAGAGAGGCUCGCAGUCGUGUUGUGGGCACUUGAAGUCUUUCACAGUGUUGGUAUUUAGCCUUCUGAAUCCCUGGAAGUCUUGGAGGAGCCUUCUUUUCAGCUGGUACCUGUUAUUGAUUGAUUGUUGGGGAAGAUAUGAGUACCAGUUGGCCACAGAAUCUUCACAAGCCAUGACGAAAGACUUGACCAUGGUUGAGUCGUCACCUCCGGCCGAAGCAAAGGUUGCUUCGUAGGCCAUGAGGAACUGGGUUGGAUCAGUUGUAGCAUUGUACUUGGGGAGUUGUGUGGGGUUGUAGCCGAGCGGCCAUGAAGUUCGCUGCAGAGCGACUGAAAGUGGCGAGGUCGGGUCAAAUGGGAGGUUGACCGGUGGUGACCUUCGGUCUUCGUUGUGAGCGAAGGUUGUCUGGUGGAUGACGCGGUUUUCUUGUUGGGCAGAACCUUCGGGCAUUUCUUGGUAUGCUCUCUGCAAAUUCUCAACUUCUGCCUCCAUUUCUGCUAGCUUGCGCCUGGCCUCGGCUAGCUUGUUUGCCUGGUCAAGUGCCCUCUUUUUGGUGGCGAGUUGAGCUUCGAUGUUCCUUUUCUUCAUUUCAAGGGUCUUGAGCUUGAGUGCUGCUUUUGUGAGCUCCGCGGAUUGGGUUUGAUGAGCUUCGGUGUUUUCGCUGUCUUCAACCGGAUCUCCAUGAAGAACAGCUUCGGUGGCGAUGUUUUCAAUUCGUGGGUUGGGCUUCUUCGUGUUGCGGUGGAGAGCCGUCAAGGACAUGGCCAGGCUCAGUGGAGUUGCUUGUGGUGCCGGCUGGGGCUUUCCUCUUCGCUGGGGCCAUCGAAGGUUGUUUUUCGAGCUAGAACGGUCAUUGCGAUCCUCACAUGUACAUAGUUGACUUUGGCGCCAACUGGAGUCUGGGCUGCCUUUAAAGUCCCCGAAUAGGACUUCCAAUGCGGAGAAUAGGGUGCUGGAUGUCGCUUGAAUUUAUUUGGCUUGUGCAUCCACUAUGAAAAUCUGCAGUAAGCGUGAAAAAAGAGCACACAACAGAAUAUCUUGCUGCCAACAUGGAUGAGCCAUGCGCAUUUCUGCUCACCUCGUCUACCGGGUCCGGAACUUGACUGCAUAAAAACUGCAGUCCCUGUGUUUCGCAGAAAAAGUAGAAUUAAAGCACCUAGUAAGGUAAAGUUGUGUAGCCGCAAAUAAUCCAAGAUUUUGAGCGUAUCUUGGUAUGUAAAAAAGCAACAGUUUUUUUUGUUUUUUUUGGCAGUAUGAUCAAAUAAUCGAGCUACAAUGAGCAGUGCCCACCUUGACUGUACAUGUACUUCAAUCAGCAGCGGAGGCGUAGACUGAUGCGCAUAAUCUGCUCAACCCAGAAUUGUUAAUAUAUAUUGAAGUUUGUUUAACA